RNAcentral lists this transfer RNA (73 nucleotides) under Paramuricea clavata. It matches the Rfam family "tRNA". From Rfam's summary of the family: Transfer RNA (tRNA) molecules are approximately 80 nucleotides in length. Their secondary structure includes four short double-helical elements and three loops (D, anti-codon, and T loops). The record is from Rfam by way of RNAcentral. Lineage: Eukaryota; Metazoa; Cnidaria; Anthozoa; Malacalcyonacea; Plexauridae.
GCCUCUGUAACUCAGUUGGUUAGAGCGCCGCACCGGAAUCGCAGGGCCGUAGGUUCAAUUCCUACCAGAGGAC